GACUGGGUUUGGGUAGCUGUCAUGUCACACAGCUGUUGUGUCUUUUAGCAAAUGAAUAGCACAUUUCUCUAAGGGAUUUGUACAGAUUGAAAAUAAAUUCUAUGUUAUUGAGAUUCACAGAACAUAGGCCAGGAAAAGGGACAAAAAUGUAUCUGCAACGACAUUUGAAUUGCUGUUUCAUCCCCCUUAUUGAAAUACAAGCCAAGAAUAAAACAUUGAUUAAAUAGAGAGCACUGACAUUUUACUCCUAUGGUGCUGGAUACCAGCCCAGACAAAGAGCCGGUUAAAUGCGAAAGACAAAGAGUCCUUUUGUGAGGUAAUAAGCUCAUCUGGGAGAAAUAUUAAGAGAAGUCUCAAAGGAUAGAGUCCACCAGCGUCUUUACCUCCAAUGCUCACCAAGAGACAGUGGGUCAAAUCAACUCAAAAUAUAUAGAUAGGGGAAAGAGGUAGAAGGAAUUCAUUACAAGGUGGAUGGGGAUUCAUGUAAGAUUCAUCUUUUUCUGUUUGGUGUGGGGCCACAUG
This 522-nucleotide long non-coding RNA is filed under the name Marmota monax (woodchuck). Lineage: Eukaryota; Metazoa; Chordata; Mammalia; Rodentia; Sciuridae. The record is from RNAcentral.